CACAUAACAGAGAGGCUAGGAUU
Molecule: non-coding RNA, 23 nt
Filed under: Arabidopsis thaliana (thale cress)
Lineage: Eukaryota; Viridiplantae; Streptophyta; Magnoliopsida; Brassicales; Brassicaceae
Source: RNAcentral